CCUACGGGUGGCAGCAGUGAGGAAUAUUGGUCAAUGGACGAGAGUCUGAACCAGCCAAGUAGCGUGAAGGAUGACUGCCCUAGGGGUUGUAAACUUCUUUUAUAUGGGAAUAAAAUGUUCCACGUGUGGGAUUUUGUAUGUACCAUAUGAAUAAGGAUCGGCUAACUCCGUGCCAGCAGCCGCGGUAAUACGGAGGAUCCGAGCGUUAUCCGGAUUUAUUGGGUUUAAAGGGAGCGUAGGUGGAUUGUUAAGUCAGUUGUGAAAGUUUGCGGCUCAACCGUAAAAUUGCAGUUGAAACUGGCAGUCUUGAGUACUGUAGAGGUGGGCGGAAUUCGUGGUGUAGCGGUGAAAUGCUUAGAUAUCACGAAGAACUCCGAUUGCGAAGGCAGUUCACUGGACUGCAACUGACACUGAGGCGCGAAAGUGUGGGUAUCAAACAGGAUUAGAUACCCUUGUAGUC
RNAcentral lists this ribosomal RNA (460 nucleotides) under uncultured bacterium. RNAcentral describes it as "partial 16S ribosomal RNA". It matches the Rfam family "Bacterial small subunit ribosomal RNA", at positions 338 to 795 of the family's 1533-position model. The record is from RNAcentral.